This 253-nucleotide ribosomal RNA is filed under the name uncultured bacterium. RNAcentral describes it as "partial 16S ribosomal RNA". It matches the Rfam family "Bacterial small subunit ribosomal RNA", at positions 524 to 776 of the family's 1533-position model. The record is from RNAcentral.
UACAGAGGUCUCAAGCGUUGUUCGGAUUCAUUGGGCGUAAAGGGUGCGUAGGCGGCGCGGUAAGUCCGCUGUGAAAGUCGGGGGCUCAACCCUCGAAUGCCGGUGGAUACUGUCGGGCUAGAGUGCGGAAGAGGCGAGUGGAAUUCCUGGUGUAGCGGUGAAAUGCGCAGAUAUCAGGAGGAACACCUAUUGCGAAGGCAGCUCGCUGGGACGUAACUGACGCUGAGACGCGAAAGCGUGGGGAGCAAACAGG